AGUGAACGCUGGCGGUAUGCCUAACACAUGCAAGUCGAACGGUAUCCCACUAUAAGCUGCGUCUUACGGGUGGGGAGUGCCGGGGGGGUGAGGACUACACCGAAAUCUACUUUUCCGUGGGGGAUAACGAAGGGAAAUUAUCUCCAUUACCCCCUAGGACCAAGGGUUAAAACCAUGGGAUCUCCGGACCUUGCCCGAUUUAAUGAGCCGAUGUCGGAUUAGCUAGUUGGCGGGGGAAAGGCCCACCAAGGGGACGAUCCGUAGCUGGUCUCAGAGGAGGAUCAGCCACCCUGGAACUGAGACACGGUCCAGACUCCUAAGGGAGGCGGCAGUGGGAAAUAUUGGACAAUGGGCGAAAGCCUGAUACAGCCAUACCGCGUAGGUGCAGAAGGCCUUCGGGUUGUAAAGCCCUUUUGUUGGGAAAGAAAAGCAGCAGGUUCAUACACCGCUGUUCUGACGGUACCCAAAGAAUAAGCACCGGCUAACUUCGUG
RNAcentral lists this ribosomal RNA (492 nucleotides) under uncultured bacterium. Its description in RNAcentral is "partial 16S ribosomal RNA". It matches the Rfam family "Bacterial small subunit ribosomal RNA", at positions 29 to 507 of the family's 1533-position model. The record is from RNAcentral.